GUUACACAGCUGGUCUGAACCUUACUGUCACCGUCCUGUCUCCGGAACAGGAAGGAGGGUAGCGUCUUCUCCAGCAUAGAGGACUGCCCAGGUCAGAGUUGGAGAGUCAGCUGACCUAGCCACUGGUCAAGAGCCCUCCAGGCUCAGGGCUCCUGGCUGCACUUGAGUGGUUCUGAGUCCUCCCCUCCUGCUGCUAGCCUGCCAGUUAAAGAAUCUAAGACCUGGCAGCCUAAGCCACCGUCCUCCCCUCUGCUCCAGGCCUCCACUUCUGCAGCCCGGGCUGGGAGGCCUUCCAGGGUGCCUGCUACAAGCACUUUUCCACACGAAGGAGUUGGGAGGAGGCAGAAAGCCAGUGCCGAGCGCUAGGGGCUCAUCUGACCAGCAUCUGCACCCCUGAGGAGCAGGACUUUGUCAACGAUCGAUACAGGGAGUACCAGUGGAUUGGGCUCAAUGACAGGACCAUCGAGGGUGACUUCCUGUGGUCAGAUGGUGCCCCUCUGGUGAGGACUGUCACUGCACUGUAGGCUAGAUCACUUCUUGGAAGCCUUUCUGACCUCAAUAACAGUCACUCUCUCUUCCUUCCUUCCUGGUCACUUUGUUCCCCUCUUCCCCCUGGACCCUUUUUUUCCGUGUGCCUCUCUUCUCUGGCUC
Molecule: long non-coding RNA, 651 nt
Filed under: Rattus norvegicus (Norway rat)
Lineage: Eukaryota; Metazoa; Chordata; Mammalia; Rodentia; Muridae
Description: long non-coding RNA NONRATT016547
Source: RNAcentral